RNAcentral lists this unclassified non-coding RNA (276 nucleotides) under plant metagenome. Its description in RNAcentral is "partial contains small subunit ribosomal RNA, internal transcribed spacer 1, and 5.8S ribosomal RNA". The record is from RNAcentral.
UCUCCGUUGGUGAACCAGCGGAGGGAUGAUUACAGAGUUUAUUAUAACUCCUAAACCCAUGUGAACCUACCUUCUGUUGCCUCGGCAGGCAAGUCGUCUCUUGCUACCCUAUAGGACCCUAUCUUGUAAGACGUUACCUUAUAAGGUCCUAUCCGGUAGAGAGAUGCGGUACUCCCUGCCGCUGGACUGAAAAAAAAAUUCUGUUUAAUAAAUGGUAUUCUGGAUCAUUAUAUGGAAAUUAAGUUAAAACUUUCAACAACGGAUCUCUUGGUUCUG